GUGGGGAAUAUUGGACAAUGGGCGAAAGCCUGAUCCAGCCAAGCCGCGUGAGUGAUGAAGGCCUUAGGGUUGUAAAGCUCUUUCAGUAGGGAAGAUAAUGACGGUACCUACAGAAGAAGCCCCGGCUAACUUCGUGCCAGCAGCCGCGGUAAUACGAAGGGGGCUAGCGUUGUUCGGAUUUACUGGGCGUAAAGCGCACGUAGGCGGAUUGGUCAGUUAGAGGUGAAAUCCUGGAGCUCAACUCCAGAACUGCCUUUAAUACUGCCAGUCUAGAGUCCAGAAGAGGUGAGUGGAACUCCUAGUGUAGAGGUGGAAUUCGUAGAUAUUAGGAAGAACACCAGUGGCGAAGGCGGCUCACUGGUCUGGUACUGACGCUGAGGUGCGAAAGCGUGGGGAGCAAACAGGAUUAGAUACCCCAGUAGUCC
RNAcentral lists this ribosomal RNA (425 nucleotides) under uncultured bacterium. RNAcentral describes it as "partial 16S ribosomal RNA". It matches the Rfam family "Bacterial small subunit ribosomal RNA", at positions 354 to 796 of the family's 1533-position model. The record is from RNAcentral.